CCUACGGGUGGCUGCAGUGGGGAAUAUUGGGCAAUGGGCGCAAGCCUGACCCAGCAACGCCGCGUGAAGGAAGAAGGCUUUCGGGUUGUAAACUUCUUUUAAGGGGGACGAACAAAUGACGGUACCCCUUGAAUAAGCCACGGCUAACUACGUGCCAGCAGCCGCGGUAAUACGUAGGUGGCAAGCGUUAUCCGGAUUUAUUGGGUGUAAAGGGCGUGUAGGCGGGAGAGCAAGUCAGAUGUGAAAACUCAGGGCUCAACCCUGAGCCUGCAUUUGAAACUGUGUUUCGUGAGUGCUGGAGAGGCAAUCGGAAGUCCGUGUGUAGCGGUGAAAUGCGUAGAUAUACGGAGGAACACCAGUGGCGAAGGCGGAUUGCUGGACAGUAACGGACGCUGAGGCGCGAAAGCGUGGGGAGCAAACAGGAUUAGAUACCCCUGUAGUC
This 442-nucleotide ribosomal RNA is filed under the name uncultured bacterium. Its description in RNAcentral is "partial 16S ribosomal RNA". It matches the Rfam family "Bacterial small subunit ribosomal RNA", at positions 338 to 795 of the family's 1533-position model. The record is from RNAcentral.